UAGGGAAUCUUGGACAAUGGGGGAAACCCUGAUCCAGCCAUGCCGCGUGAGUGAUGAAGGCCUUCGGGUUGUAAAACUCUUUCGACGGGGACGAUAAUGACGGUACCCGUAGAAGAAGCUCCGGCUAACUUCGUGCCAGCAGCCGCGGUAAUACGAAGGGGGCUAGCGUUGUUCGGAAUUACUGGGCGUAAAGCGCGCGCAGGCGGCCUUUCAAGUCAGGGGUGAAAGCCCAGAGCUCAACUCUGGAAUUGCCUUUGAGACUGUGAGGCUUCGAGUACGGGAGAGGUGAGUGGAAUUCCCAGUGUAGAGGUGAAAUUCGUAGAUAUUGGGAAGAACACCGGUGGCGAAGGCGGCUCACUGGCCCGUUACUGACGCUCAGGCGCGACAGCGUGGGGAUCAAACAGGAUUAGAUACCCCCGUAGUCC
Molecule: ribosomal RNA, 425 nt
Filed under: uncultured bacterium
Lineage: Bacteria
Description: bacterial SSU rRNA
Rfam family: Bacterial small subunit ribosomal RNA
Source: RNAcentral